This 378-nucleotide unclassified non-coding RNA is filed under the name uncultured Alphaproteobacteria bacterium. RNAcentral describes it as "contains 16S-23S intergenic spacer region". The record is from RNAcentral. Lineage: Bacteria; Pseudomonadati; Pseudomonadota; Alphaproteobacteria.
UCGCGGCUUAUCACCGGCAGUCCCCUUAGAGUGCCCAACUGAAUGAUGGCAACUAAGGGCGAGGGUUGCGCUCGUUGCGGGACUUAACCCAACAUCUCACGACACGAGCUGACGACAGCCAUGCAGCACCUGUCUCCGCGCCCCUUGCGGGGACCGCCCAUCUCUGAGCGUGGCACGGGAUGUCAAACCCUGGUAAGGUUCUGCGCGUUGCGUCGAAUUAAACCACAUGCUCCACCGCUUGUGCGGGCCCCCGUCAAUUCCUUUAAGUUUUAAUCUUGCGACCGUACUCCCCAGGCGGGGUGCUUAAUGCGUUAGCUUCGAUACUGAGAGCCAAGUUGCUCCCAACAUCCAGUUCGCAUCGUUUAGGGCGUGGACUAC